AGUGAACGCUGGCGGCAGGCCUAAUACAUGCAAGUCGAACGGCAGCACGGCAGAGCUUGCUCUGUGGGUGGCGAGUGGCGGACGGGUGAGGAAUACGUGGGAAUCUGCCCAGUCGUGGGGGAUAACGUAGGGAAACUUACGCUAAUACCGCAUGCGCCCUUCGGGGGAAAGCCGGGGAUCUUCGGACCUGGCGCGAUUGGAUGAGCCCACGUCGGAUUAGCUAGUUGGCGGGGUAAAGGCCCACCAAGGCGACGAUCCGUAGCUGGUCUGAGAGGAUGAUCAGCCACACUGGAACUGAGACACGGUCCAGACUCCUACGGGAGGCAGCAGUAGGGAAUAUUGGACAAUGGGCGCAAGCCUGAUCCAGCCAUGCCGCGUGAGUGAAGAAGGCCCUCGGGUUGUAAAGCUCUUUUGUCCGGAAAGAAAAAACCUUGGGUUAAUACCCUGAGGUUCUGACGGUACCGGAAGAAUAAGCACCGGCUAACUUCGUG
This 491-nucleotide ribosomal RNA is filed under the name uncultured bacterium. RNAcentral's name for it is "bacterial SSU rRNA". It matches the Rfam family "Bacterial small subunit ribosomal RNA", at positions 29 to 507 of the family's 1533-position model. The record is from RNAcentral.